RNAcentral lists this ribosomal RNA (822 nucleotides) under uncultured archaeon. Its description in RNAcentral is "bacterial SSU rRNA". It matches the Rfam family "Archaeal small subunit ribosomal RNA", at positions 1 to 812 of the family's 1478-position model. The record is from RNAcentral.
UUCCGGUUGAUCCUGCCGGACCCGACUGCUAUCGGAUUGAGAUUUAGCCAUGCGAGUCGAACGUCCCCCUGUUGCGGGGGGCGUGGCGUACGGCUCAGUAACACGUAGUCAACCUGCCCUGGAGACAAGGACAACCCCGGGAAACUGGGAUUAAUCCGUGAUAGGUCAUCUCAUCUGGAAGGAGAGAUGGCUUAAAGGGGUACGCGGGCUUCUUCUGCGUAUUCGCUCCAGGAUGGGACUGCGUCCGAUCAGGCUGUUGGCGGGGUAAUGGCCCACCAAACCUGUAACCGGUACGGGCCUUGAGAGAGGUGGCCCGGAGAUGGACACUGAGAGAAGGGUCCAGGUCCUACGGGGCGCAGCAGGCGCGAAACCUUCGCAAUGCGCGAAAGCGUGACGAGGUUAAUCCGAGUGACUCCCGCUGAGGGGGUCUUUUGUCAGCUGUAAAUAGGCAGGCGAAUAAGGGGAGGGCAAGCCUGGUGUCAGCCGCCGCGGUAAUACCAGCUCCUCGAGUGGUCGGGGCGAUUAUUGGGCCUAAAGCAUCCGUAGCCGGUUCCGUAGGUCCUCUGUUAAAUCCAACCGCUUAACGGUUGACCUGCAGAGGAUACCGCGGGACUAGGAGGCGGGAGAGGCGGACGGUAUUCCGCGUGUAGGGGUAAAAUCCUUUGAUCCGCGGAGGACCACCAGUGGCGAAGCGGUUCGCCAGAACGCGCUCGACGGUGAGGGAUGAAAGCUGGGGAGCGACCGGAUAGAUACCCGGGUAGUCCCAGCCGUAAACGAUGCUAGCUAGAUGAUCAUCGCAGUCGCGAUGAGUGUCGCAGGAGC